Molecule: non-coding RNA, 22 nt
Filed under: Arabidopsis thaliana (thale cress)
Lineage: Eukaryota; Viridiplantae; Streptophyta; Magnoliopsida; Brassicales; Brassicaceae
Source: RNAcentral
UCCAUUGGUGAGAUACUUCAAG